GUACGCAGGCGGUUUGUUAAGCGAGAUGUGAAAGCCCCGGGCUCAACCUGGGAACUGCAUUUCGAACUGGCAAACUAGAGUGUGAUAGAGGGUGGUAGAAUUUCAGGUGUAGCGGUGAAAUGCGUAGAGAUCUGAAGGAAUACCGAUGGCGAAGGCAGCCACCUGGGUCAACACUGACGCUCAUGUACGAAAGCGUGGGGAGCAAACGGGAUUAGAUACCCCGGUAGUCCACGCCGUAAACGAUGUCUACUAGAAGCUCGGAACCUCGGUUCUGUUUUUCAAAGCUAACGCAUUAAGUAGACCGCCUGGGGAGUACGGCCGCAAGGUUAAAACUCAAAUGAAUUGACGGGGGCCCGCACAAGCGGUGGAGCAUGUGGUUUAAUUCGAUGCAACGCGAAGAACCUUACCUACACUUGACAUACAGAGAACUUUCUAGAGAUAGAUUGGUGCCUUCGGGAACUCUGAUACAGGUGCUGCAUGGCUGUCGUCAGCUCGUGUUGUGAGAUGUUGGGUUAAGUCCCGCAACGAGCGCAACCCCUAUCCUUAGUUGCUAGCAGGUAAUGCUGAGAACUCUAAGGAGACUGCCGGUGAUAAACCGGAGGAAGGUGGGGGCGACGUCAAGUCAUCAUGGCCCUUACGUGUAGGGCUACACACGUGCUACAAUGGCGCAUACAGAGUGCUGCGAACCUGCGAAGGUAAGCGAAUCACUUAAAGUGCGUCGUAGUCCGGAUUGGAGUCUGCAACUCGACUCCAUGAAGUCGGAAUCGCUAGUAAUCGCGUAUCAGAAUGAC
RNAcentral lists this ribosomal RNA (791 nucleotides) under uncultured bacterium. RNAcentral's name for it is "bacterial SSU rRNA". It matches the Rfam family "Bacterial small subunit ribosomal RNA", at positions 567 to 1358 of the family's 1533-position model. The record is from RNAcentral.